GACGAACGCUGGCGGCGUGCUUAACACAUGCAAGUCGAACGCUGAAGCUCAGCUUUUGUUGGGUGGAUGAGUGGCGAACGGGUGAGUAACACGAGAGUAACCUGCCCCCUUCUUUGGGAUAACGCCCGGAAACGGGUGCUAAUACUGGAUAUUCACUGGUCUUCGCAUGGGGGUUGGUGGAAAGGGUUUUUCUGGUGGGGGAUGGGCUCGCGGCCUACCAGCUUGUUGGUGGGGUGAUGGCCUACCAAGGCUUUGACGGGUAGCCGGCCUGAGAGGGUGACCGGUCACAUUGGGACUGAGAUACGGCCCAGACUCCUACGGGAGGCAGCAGUGGGGAAUAUUGCACAAUGGGCGCAAGCCUGAUGCAGCGACGCCGCGUGAGGGAUGGAGGCCUUCGGGUUGUGAACCUCUUUCGCUCAUGGUCAAGCCGCAACAAUGGUUGUGGUGAGGGUAGUGGGUAAAGAAGCGCCGGCUAACUACGU
Molecule: ribosomal RNA, 482 nt
Filed under: uncultured bacterium
Lineage: Bacteria
Description: partial 16S ribosomal RNA
Rfam family: Bacterial small subunit ribosomal RNA
Source: RNAcentral